This is a long non-coding RNA of Numida meleagris (helmeted guineafowl), 3786 nucleotides long. RefSeq lists it as uncharacterized. NCBI's taxonomy places the organism in Eukaryota, Metazoa, Chordata, Aves, Galliformes, Numididae. The transcript has 4 exons. The record is from RefSeq and is a predicted model, not a curated record.
UGCGCAGGCUCGGGGCGAAGCCCCGCCGGGACCCCUCGUAGUGAGGGCCGCGAUCAGGGCGCCGGGUUCGUGGCGCGGCCGCUCGGCGGAGCCCUGUAGGAGGUGCUGUCGCUUCACGGAUGACGAAAUUGCUACACACUCAUCAGAAAUCACUGUUUUACCAUGUCUCUUGCUGCAAGGAGGUAGACACACCGCAUCGAUAUCGGGACAAAGGAAAGAAACAAGGGAAGGGUGUCCAAUCCUGUCAAGGGCUAUGACCCUUUUGUUGCACAGCGCAAGGUACAGCCACUUCACAGUCUGAUUUCCAAGUUGUUCUUACAGUGCUGACACUAUUCACUGGCUAAUCUAGUCAUCAGCUGCUGCUUUUCUUGAUAAAAAGGGAUUAGCAAAGUGCAGCAUCUACCGUGUAAACUGGCUAAGAUGGAAUGCAAACCCUCCUCCCGCCUCUCUAUAGAAGAAGCUGUAAUAAGAGAGGGAGUCUCAGGACUUCUGCUGAGUCUGUCACACAGAACCCAAUUCUUGUCUUUCUUCUAGAGCCUGCACCAUCAGCAGCAGAGCACAGAGCCAGUGCUGUGUCCUGCUUGCCUUACAGUUCUUGCAGAGAAGUUGUGAAAGAAGAAUAACAGAUGCGGAGGCCGCUUGCAGAGAUUCACGUCCCUUUAGGUGUCGUGCUUUUAAGCCUUUUACCUUCUCCAGAGUGCUGUGUUUGUCCCUUGGUCCAGGAGCAUCGCUGUGCCAGCCUUCUCAGGAGAGGUUCUGGCCUCCCUCUCCUUCAAGUAUGUCUGUUUACUCAGAGUGCUUUCUGCAAGCCUUACUCUGCGCAUUUAUUGUGGAAAAGCAGCCUGUGUUUCCUAACAUGCUGCUUCAGGCACUUGCAUUCCGUCUGAGUUGUACUGCCCUUCAAUUAUUGGUCUUCUCGUUGUGAUCAAGUGAACUUUUACAAAUCUCCACACUUAUUGUCAAGGUAAAUAGGUGCUGCUUUUAAUCAGUAGAAAGGGCGACACAAAUGCAGUCCUAAGUAACUUAAGCCAACUGUGAAGGAUACGGUGUGUGUGUAAUUGUGAAGGACAUCAGCCAUUCAGUCCAGCACAGCUCAGUGUUUCUUCAGAGCCAGAGCUCCGGAGUCCCCUUGUCCCACUCCCACCUCCUGUGCUGGCAGCCCCGAGCAGACAGGAGCAGAAUGGCGAGGCCGGACCUGGGGCGCUGCGGAGAUUGGAGCUGCCAGGUGAACGCAAGCCUGCAGAACACUUACAGAAGUUUCUCUCCACUGGCUUUUCCAAAUGUAAACAACCUAUACAGCGUCUUCUAAUGUAAAACAAAUGUGAAAGGCUGAAGUGGUGCUACAGGCUCCUGCGAUAUGAUGGAUGGUGUGAAUGAUGUUCAUCCCCACAGCUGCCCGUUGGAUUUCCUUCGCUGCAGCCGGGUUGUUCACUCUGAAAUUGUUUCAUAAAGACAACGCAUCUGCAGUUUGGAAAUCGAGUGAGAGGUGCUACACGCGCUUUUGUUACACUCCACAUUGUUUGCGUGUCCUUGUGAAAAAUGUUAAUGAGAUGUAUUAAAUGCAUCAACAGCAACCAUCUCCUGCUUUUGCACCACCCUGCUGCAAGGGGGGUUGAGAAGACAAGCUUGAAACAAAAAGAGCUUUCAUACCGUGGUCCAGUGCGACGAAGCCAUUGUACGUUGCUCCAGGGCUCUUAACUACCCAGGGAACUUUCAAAAUGGGCACUAUUUGAACUUCAGAGCAGGGCCUAUAAUCUUGCGUAAUAAUUACUUCAAAUGUGACAGUUUAAUUCAGUAUAGGUAUCCAAAACAAUUUCUGAAAUUAAUAAGACAUGCUUUAUAGCUUACGCAUGUCAGAAGUUAUAAGACAGGUCUCGUCAUGGAACUUGACUGCUUUAACGUGACUUUUUAAAUAGUCUGACAAUUUAAAACAAUUACAUAACGUUUUGUUCUUGCUAACUUUUGAAACAAAAAAAUGUUCCGUUGUGUUUAUAGGGCUGACUCUGGUGAGGUGACCUCUGCGGAGGGGUUACUCUUUGAAGUUCUCCCUGAAGAGCUUUGAGGCAGCUGAGUGUCUCUGAGUGUGAUUUCGUAAGGUUUUGAUGCUAGAAAACUGUUUAACAAACAGCUCCAAAAUAUUUAGAUUUUGAUUAAUAACACGCAGUGCUGUGGUAUUUAAAUAACAUGGAGUAUGAAGUCUAACAUGUGGCAGAAGUGUAUGCAUUCCACAUGGCUAGGAGGGCAGGAGUGGAAGCAUACCAGUAUCUGAGCCACAGGGAAAGAGUUGUACUAAGUCAGUUAAACUCUCCUGUAGAAAUCUAUUCAACUGUCAUCUCUGCUUGCACCAAAGCCUUUCCUCUUAUGCUGUGGCUGGAAGGAUGCUCCUUCAGCAGUGCUUUGUUCUGCAGGAGUCCACGUGUUGUGGGUGUGCAGAGCCCUGCCUGUGGCUAAUGUGUGGGUGCAGCACACAGCAGUUUGGGGGGAUCAGCUCCAUGCCCCAGUACAGCGCUGCGGUAAUGACGCUACCAAAACUUGGGGAAAAUAGUUGGAUAUGGCAUCCCGGAGAGCAGCACUCGCAUGGACAUCGGUCAUGGGGCCUCAGAACUGUCUGAAGUUCCUACAGUUUGACAAUCUUCAGCGUUGAAACUUGACUGACAAAAGAAGCUCUGUGUGGCCAAAAGAAGGCGUACUCUGUCUGUAGGCAGUAAAAUACCACUGUGCUUAGUGUCUUUGCAAUGAAAGGGCUUUUGCUGACGUGAAGAAAUUCUGAGCUGGCCUGCACCAAGGGUUCAUUUGAGAAUCCCACCUCCCUUACACCCUGGUUACUAUUGGUUUAGGAUAACAUCUACUCCCAUAAUAUUCAUAUAUUAGCUGUUUAUAUUAGCUCUAGGAUGAGAUGUGAUGUUUGCAUGCAAGUAUUUAUUUUAUUAAAUGUAAAGGAAGAAAGACCUAUCCAGCUCUAGCAUUGCAUAUAAAUACCUUAUUUGCAGAUGUAUCUUUUAACUGCCAAAACUAAAAAACUUGGACAUUUGAUUUCUAUUUUGGGACAAGCCAAAAGAAAAAGGAAAAAGAAAAAAGCAUUUUUUUCCCAAAUAUUUAUUUUUCUACAGUGGAAACAAAAUGUAAAUGACUUAGCUAUUUGCUGGGAAUACGUUCACACCAUGAAUAUGCAAGUUGUCAUUUAGCACGCCGAUGCAACGCUGUAAUUGUCCAGAUGAAACGCUGUUUGUAGAUGAAGUGUACCUGUUAUUCUUACCGAUUUUCUGUUUACUUAUUUAUGCAUUUAUUUAUUUAUUUUCAUUUAUAAAUGGUUGGAAGUAGUAUACAGCUGCGGAGAUAUGCACAACUGAGAAGACUGAUGAUCUGCCUUUGUGAGCAUUUUCACCUUUGAUCUAUCAAUUUUAAGAAAACCCUUCCAAAUGCAGUUCUGUAUUAAUGAUGGGAGAUUAACAAAAGGUGCAGUGGGUAAAAUAUGAACGUGCUUUCAGCUGUGCUGUACGGUCUAGAAUGGACAUCGAUGUUAAAGCGAUUCAGUCUUCAGAUCAACGUAGCAAUGACUGUUAAAAACGUAAAGAAAAGAGCUCAUUCAUCAAGCCGCACUAAUUAUAUCUAGCCCUCAUUUGCAAAUUGUUUAAUUGUGAGUAUUCCUGGGCUGGUAUUACGGAAUUGUAAGGACUAUUUUGCAGUUGUUGCUAACAAAAUUUAAAAUAGUCUCCAUUUAGUCUCUUUCAAAAGAGUUGAAGGUAGAUGAAGUGAAAACAAUGGGUACAUGAUAAAUAAAGGUCU